ACGCUGGCGGCAGGCCUAACACAUGCAAGUCGAGCGGUAGAGAGAAGCUUGCUUCUCUUGAGAGCGGCGGACGGGUGAGUAAUGCCUAGGAAUCUGCCUGGUAGUGGGGGAUAACGUUCGGAAACGGACGCUAAUACCGCAUACGUCCUACGGGAGAAAGCAGGGGACCUUCGGGCCUUGCGCUAUCAGAUGAGCCUAGGUCGGAUUAGCUAGUUGGUGAGGUAAUGGCUCACCAAGGCGACGAUCCGUAACUGGUCUGGGAGGAUGAUCAGUCACACUGGAACUGAGACACGGUCCAGACUCCUACGGGAGGCAGCAGUGGGGAAUAUUGGACAAUGGGCGAAAGCCUGAUCCAGCCAUGCCGCGUGUGUGAAGAAGGUCUUCGGAUUGUAAAGCACUUUAAGUUGGGAGGAAGGGUUGUAGAUUAAUACUCUGCAAUUUUGACGUUACCGACAGAAUAAGCACCGGCUAACUCUGUGCCAGCAGCCGCGGUAAUACAGAGGGUGCAAGCGUUAAUCGGAAUUACUGGGCGUAAAGCGCGCGUAGGUGGUUUGUUAAGUUGGAUGUGAAAUCCCCGGGCUCAACCUGGGAACUGCAUUCAAAACUGACUGACUAGAGUAUGGUAGAGGGUGGUGGAAUUUCCUGUGUAGCGGUGAAAUGCGUAGAUGUAGGAAGGAACACCAGUGGCGAAGGCGACCACCUGGACUAAUACUGACACUGAGGUGCGAAAGCGUGGGGAGCAAAC
This 745-nucleotide ribosomal RNA is filed under the name uncultured bacterium. RNAcentral describes it as "bacterial SSU rRNA". It matches the Rfam family "Bacterial small subunit ribosomal RNA", at positions 33 to 773 of the family's 1533-position model. The record is from RNAcentral.